RNAcentral lists this ribosomal RNA (468 nucleotides) under uncultured bacterium. RNAcentral's name for it is "partial 16S ribosomal RNA". It matches the Rfam family "Bacterial small subunit ribosomal RNA", at positions 28 to 507 of the family's 1533-position model. The record is from RNAcentral.
GACGAACGCUGGCGGCGUGCUUAACACAUGCCAGUCGAACGGAAAGGCCCUGCUUUUGUGGGGUGCUCGAGUGGCGAACGGGUGAGUAACACGUGAGUAACCUGCCCUUGACUUUGGGAUAACUUCAGGAAACUGGGGCUAAUACCGGAUAGGAGCUCCUGCUGCAUGGUGGGGGUUGGAAAGUUUCGGCGGUUGGGGAUGGACUCGCGGCUUAUCAGCUUGUUGGUGGGGUAGUGGCUUACCAAGGCUUUGACGGGUAGCCGGCCUGAGAGGGUGACCGGCCACAUUGGGACUGAGAUACGGCCCAGACUCCUACGGGAGGCAGCAGUGGGGAAUAUUGCACAAUGGGCGGGAGCCUGAUGCAGCAACGCCGCGUGCGGGAUGACGGCCUUCGGGUUGUAAACCGCUUUCGCCUGUGACGAAGCGUGAGUGACGGUAAUGGGUAAAGAAGCACCGGCUAACUACGUG